CCUACGGGUGGCAGCAGUGAGGAAUAUUGGUCAAUGGGCGAGAGCCUGAACCAGCCAAGUCGCGUGAAGGAUGAAGGAUCUAUGGAUGGUAAACUUCUUUUAUAUGGGAAUAAAGUGAGGAACGUGUGCCUUGUUGUAUGUACCAUAUGAAUAAGCAUCGGCUAACUCCGUGCGCGCAGCCGCGGUAAUACGGAGGAUGCGAGCGUUUUCCGGAGUUAUUGGGGUUAAUGGGUGCGUAGGUGGUUAAUUAAGGCAGCGGUGGAAGUUGGUGGCUCAACCAUAAACUUGCCGUUGAAACGGGUUGCCUUGAGUCUAUUUGAGUUAGUCGGCAUGC
RNAcentral lists this ribosomal RNA (334 nucleotides) under uncultured bacterium. RNAcentral describes it as "partial 16S ribosomal RNA". It matches the Rfam family "Bacterial small subunit ribosomal RNA", at positions 338 to 669 of the family's 1533-position model. The record is from RNAcentral.